ACGGAAGGCAGCAGUAGGGAAUAUUGCACAAUGGGGGGAACCCUGAUGCAGCCAUGCCGCGUGUGUGAAGAAGGCCUUCGGGUUGUAAAGCACUUUCAGUUUGGAGGAAAGUAGCAAUUCGAAAAGGGUUGCUAUGUGACGUUACAAACAGAAGAAGCACCGGCUAACUCCGUGCCAGCAGCCGCGGUAAUACGGAGGGUGCGAGCGUUAAUCGGAAUAACUGGGCGUAAAGAGCACGUAGGUGGUUAAGUAAGUCAGAUGUGAAAGCCCUGGGCUCAACCUAGGAUGUGCAUUUGAAACUGUUUAACUAGAGUACUGUAGAGGGAGGUAGAAUUCCAGGUGUAGCGAUGAAAUGCGUAGAUAUCUGGAGGAAUACCGGUGGCGAAGGCGGCCUCCUGGACAGAGACUGACGCUGAGGUGCGAAAGCAUGGGUAGCAAACAGGAUUAGAUACCCUGGUA
RNAcentral lists this ribosomal RNA (459 nucleotides) under uncultured Ruminobacter sp. RNAcentral's name for it is "partial 16S ribosomal RNA". It matches the Rfam family "Bacterial small subunit ribosomal RNA", at positions 341 to 792 of the family's 1533-position model. Lineage: Bacteria; Pseudomonadati; Pseudomonadota; Gammaproteobacteria; Aeromonadales; Succinivibrionaceae. The record is from RNAcentral.